Triticum dicoccoides is the source of this 2823-nucleotide long non-coding RNA. RefSeq lists it as uncharacterized. The record is from RefSeq and is a predicted model, not a curated record. NCBI's taxonomy places the organism in Eukaryota, Viridiplantae, Streptophyta, Magnoliopsida, Poales, Poaceae. The transcript is spliced from 7 exons.
CUCUCCAACCCUCAGCUGCUCCUCCAGCCUUGCACCACCCCACGUGACCGGCCCGAGCAGGGCUGGUGUACCUCGCCCUUGCCUUCCUUUGAUUUGGAGAGAGAUGGCGACGGCGGCGGCUCGACGGGAGGCGCGGCAGAGUAAGCUCGUGCAGGUGGUGGUGGUGAUGGGAACUUGUUCGUUCGAUUUGGAGCAGCAGGAAACCUCCAUGGACGAGGACAACGGAAGAAGGUGCCUUGGUCGACGUGGUCUACGCCGGUGUGGUGCAGCCGAGCUCCACGUCUUGUACGCCGUGGCCUGCGCCGGUGUGGGCGACCUCCUGCUCGGGUAAGCAGCACCCCCUCUCUCUGUUAUUCGUCGCCACCCAUCCACCCGACGAACGAGAGAUGCACGACAGAGAUGCACACGCUCUUCCCUGUAGGAUGACGGUGGUGUUCUUCCUCCAACCAAAUUCCAGCCCCUCGAUACAAAGUCAGAUUCAGGUUCGCUCUUCACCAAUUUGAUGCCAAAUAUUUUUGUUUGGUUGAGGUGGUGAUCAAGGGGUGGAAUUAGUUGAUGCGUACUCCCUCCGUCCGGAAAUACUUGUCGGAGAAAUGGAUGUAUCUAGACAUGUUUUAGUUCUAGAUACACCCAUUUUUACCCAUUUUUUCGACAAGUAUUUUCGGACGGAGGGAGUACAAUUUAUUAACACAGCCGCACAGCAGCGAGUGCUUAUGGCAACGACGAUGACAAAGAAAGCUGACUGCUACUUCUGGAGUACUACUGGAUGAUGCUUUGUACAGCAGCAACACACACGUACUCGACCUCCUAUUCGAAUUUCAAUCCUUGGACAGAGUUGGUUCCAAUAACUUGGACACUCACGUACACAACAGCCUCUGGUGAUUGAUUCUGUGGCCGGCCAAAAAACGCUGUGCACGGAAACAAAAUCAAUUGGACUGCCACAGAAUGCAAAUGACGGAAGAACUCUGACAAGUUCAACAAAGGCUUUGGCUAUGGCGGAUGGGAUCACUAUGGUGUGUUUCCUCUCAGGGGUAAAUUAUUAAAUGUGAGAGAAGCAAGCCAUAAGCAGUUAAUGGAGAAUGCAGAGAUCCAAAAUAUAAAGAAAAUAUUAGGUCUGCAACAUGAAAAGAAGUAUGAUAGCACGAAAUGCUUGAGAUAUGACCACCUUAUGAUAGUGACAGAUUAGGUUUGCCUGACAAACUUUUCAGGAAUUGCCCUGAUCUGCUCGGCAAAUCGGCUCUGCUACUAAGGUGCACUUUGCACUUUCCUUUAUCGAUUUGUCCCCGUCUGAUACACCGGUAUUCACGUCUUUCUUGUUACCAAUUCUGCUCAGCUUGAUGAAUGGCCUUUUGUUUUGAUCGUGGUGCAUGAUUCUAGCUUGUCUAAGAACUUAGAUUUGGGGAGAUAUAUUGGGGAUGUGCAGAAGUCCUUUUGGGGACAAUCGUGUAAUGCAAGGUGUCAGCUUCCAGAGCUCCCAGGCAGACGCCUCCCUCCUCCUCGUCUUGGACAGCCAGAUCAUCCCUCUGUCCUGAGGGCGGCGAUUUGUUCUAGUGCAGGCUUAUUAGAGGCAGGAUCACAACCGUGGAGUACCAGGACAUCAAUGCCCAGCGGCACCAACAGCAACUACACGGGUUUCGAAAUGAUGGGCAGGUUUUCCUUUAUGAUCUUGGAAGCACGCAUUGUUCUUCCAUCAACAAAACUCAGGCAGUCUCUUUCCUCGUCUUACUUUAGAGCAGAACUGAAUAUUUCCAAUUCAUCCCGGACUUCUCAUAUGUUUGUUUGAAAAUGUUGAUACCGUGCAACUAUGUGUUCUCUUCUCAUGUAUGCACCUCAUUGUUCAUUUUUUUUCUCAAACACACAAAUUUUGUAUUAAGGAGGACGUUAAUAUGACGUAGACCACGUUAUUGUUCAUGCUAUUUUGUUUUAAAAAGCACUAUAAUUUGUAUUGAUGGCAUUCUUGUUCUGUUAUAUUUUUAUAUAUCCAUCUACCUUUGGCUUGCUGAGUCACACUGUAAACUGAGGAAAAUAUACCAAGAGUUGUCCGUGUAUCCAUUGUUCCUUUCAUACUGAUGUGAUUUAUUGUGUCUGGCCUUCGGCGCUUGUAGAAAUCCGCAGCUGAUUCUACUAUAUGAUAAGGGCAUCAGUGAUUAGUGCAAGGUUUCUUUCUACAACCAAUACUUUUAUGACUAGAGAUCUUUAUAAGGGCAUCAAUGAUUAAUGCAAGGUUUCUUUCUCCAACCAAUACUCUAGAGAUCAUUAUUAGUCUUCCGUUCAUUUUCCAUUAGGUACAAGAGUGUUUGUUGGAAGAAGUGGCGUCAAGUACUUUUUGUAACUUCAUGCUUGACUUGUGGCUUUGCACCUAAGCAUAUAGCAAAUAUUGUUAACUACUUGACGAAAUGUACAAGCACAACGAUACGCUUGGUGCGCCACAAAUAUUGUACACUGGUUUCCUUCUGCCCUUAACAGUGCGCACAUGCACAUUCAGGAGGCACGAUCGAUGAGGACCUUCACAGCAGGAAGCUCUACGUCUAUGGGAGGGAGGCGAUGCAGUUGCUAUUUGCGUCCAACGCGGUCGUCUCUGCUUAAAUGGGCUUGGGGCUGAGACUGGAAGCCGAGCCAUCCACGAGCCCCUCACCUUGUGGGGCGGAGAAGGACGAGGAGGAGCAUUCCGCAAUGCAUAGAGCAUUACGAGCAACCUAAGCCAUUAUCAUCUAUCUGAUCGCUUAUGUAACCUCUAAGACUGUUGCUUGUGCUACAUUUCUACUGCUUCCUCUUAUAGUUCCGGUCAGGAACUUGCACACACAUAUAUUCUUGUGCUUUCAG